This 518-nucleotide long non-coding RNA is filed under the name Capsicum annuum. RNAcentral's name for it is "long non-coding RNA (CANN_LNC002802)". Lineage: Eukaryota; Viridiplantae; Streptophyta; Magnoliopsida; Solanales; Solanaceae. The record is from RNAcentral.
UCCAUAGCACCACAGUUAAUGAUCUAACGGAAUCAACGCUUUGAAGAAGCUUCAGACUUUUAUCCGGCAAUUUAAUCGGAAUAAAAGCAGUAGUAGUAGAAAUGCGAAAUUCCAAUAUGAUCCUUUGAGUUACUCAUUGAAUUUCAAUGAGGGGAGAGGAAAUAACAGAGAAGAGGAGAAGGAAUUGGUACUCAGAAAUUUCUCGACGAGAUAUGCAUUGAUUUUGACAACUGGUAAAGUGUCCAUGGACGACGGACCCAGUUUCGUUUGAGUGCUACAGUUGCAAAGUUUCUACUUUUUUGUUGGUAUAAAAAAUUAUAUUUGGGAUUGAUGUUGUCUUUUUUUUUUUUAAUGGUGGACUGUAUAUAUUGUUUUCUCUUUAUGAAGGACUAUUCAAUUGAUUUCCAUUUUUUUGGUUUGAAGUCUGCUGAUGGUUGAUACUAGGUGGUAUUUGAAUUCGGAAAACAAUAUUGAGGAUUAAUUAUGUGUUUAAAUUAAUUCUAAAAAACUGCUUUUAA